Molecule: ribosomal RNA, 253 nt
Filed under: uncultured bacterium
Lineage: Bacteria
Description: partial 16S ribosomal RNA
Rfam family: Bacterial small subunit ribosomal RNA
Source: RNAcentral
AACGUAGGAGACAAACGUUAUCCGGAGUUACUGGGCGUAAAGGGCGUGUAGGUGGUUUCGUAAGUCUGGUGUGAAAUUUUUCGGCUUAACCGGGAAAGGUCGUCGGAUACUGCGAGGCUAGAGGACGGUAGAGGCGUGUGGAAUUCCGGGUGUAGCGGUGAAAUGCGCAGAUAUCGGGAGGAACACCGAUGGCGAAGGCAGGACUCUGGGCCGGUACUGACGCUGAGGAGCGAAAGCGUGGGGAGCAAACAGG